AGUAUCAAAAUAGGUACAGGCAUAUUUGUUUCUCCUGAAGGGGCAUUAAAAUACAACUCACUCAAUGUGGGGUCUCCCUGAGUAUUUGGGCUGCUUGUGCCAUGGUGUCUGUGAUGGCUGCUGUUAGUCAUGCAGAGCUAGGGGCCACCUUCCCUAGAAGCGGUGCACAGUAUUAUUUCCUCAGAAGUUCUCUCAGACACUUUAUUGUUUUAUUCCAUCCCUGUAUCAACCUAUUUAACACUUCAGCAGGACCUGGUGCAUGUGGAUUGAUACUAGCAGGGUAGUAUCACAGCCUUUCUAUCCUGAACGUUUUGUUCCUUAGAUGCCAGAGAAAUGUUUAGCAUUGGAAUUCUGAAGGCUUGAGGAGUGAAAGAGGUGACAUGCUGACUCUCAGAACAGUUUUGAGAAUGAUGGUUCUCUGCUUUAUAUCUCCAACUGGAAUAAUGCUGUUGGUGAGAGAAAGAAAACAGCACUUAGUCAGGUUUGAGAAAGCUUUUCAUGCCACAAUUCCAGAUGCCCCACAGAUUGCAGAAGCCUUUCUUCAAGGAUUUUAUGUGUAUUCAGGGUGGGGA
This 572-nucleotide long non-coding RNA is filed under the name Homo sapiens (human). RNAcentral's name for it is "non-protein coding lnc-LRRCC1-1:1". Lineage: Eukaryota; Metazoa; Chordata; Mammalia; Primates; Hominidae. The record is from RNAcentral.